UUGCCAGACUCCUACGGGAGGCAGCAGUGGGGAAUAUUGCACAAUGGGGGAAACCCUGAUGCAGCGACGCCGCGUGAGCGAAGAAGUAUUUCGGUAUGUAAAGCUCUAUCAGCAGGGAAGAAAUUGACGGUACCUGAGUAAGAAGCUCCGGCUAAAUACGUGCCAGCAGCCGCGGUAAUACGUAUGGAGCAAGCGUUAUCCGGAUUUACUGGGUGUAAAGGGAGCGUAGGCGGCCUGCCAAGUCUGAUGUGAAAUACCGGGGCUCAACCCCGGGGCUGCAUUGGAAACUGGCAGGCUGGAGUGUCGGAGAGGCAGGCGGAAUUCCUAGUGUAGCGGUGAAAUGCGUAGAUAUUAGGGGGAACACCAGUGGCGAAGGCGGCCUGCUGGACGGUGACUGACGCUGAGGCUCGAAAGCGUGGGGAGCAAACAGGAUUAGAUACCCCUGUA
This 447-nucleotide ribosomal RNA is filed under the name uncultured bacterium. RNAcentral's name for it is "partial 16S ribosomal RNA". It matches the Rfam family "Bacterial small subunit ribosomal RNA", at positions 328 to 792 of the family's 1533-position model. The record is from RNAcentral.